Molecule: ribosomal RNA, 659 nt
Filed under: uncultured Basidiomycota
Lineage: Eukaryota; Fungi; Basidiomycota
Description: partial 18S ribosomal RNA
Rfam family: 5.8S ribosomal RNA (bases 167-320)
Source: RNAcentral
UCCGUAGGUGAACCUGCGGAAGGAUCAUUAAUAAUGCUCUCUGGCUUCGGUCAGUUGAGUUCAAUGAGUGCCUUCUCUUCGGAGUUGGCCAUCCAUACACACCGUGAACUGUGGCUUCGGCCAUCACAAACUGUUAGUAAUGAAUGUAAUAUCAUAACAAAAACAAAACUUUUAACAACGGAUCUCUUGGCUCUCGUAUCGAUGAAGAACACAGCGAAAUGCGAUAAGUAAUGUGAAUUGCAGAAUUCAGUGAAUCAUCGAAUCUUUGAACGCACCUUGCGCCCUUUGGUAUUCCGAAGGGCAUGCCUGUUUGAGUGUCAUGAAACCUCACCCCACUUGGGUUUUUGCCUGAGCGGUGGUGUAUUGGGUGUUGCCUUGCCAAAGGCUCGCCUUAAAAACAUAAGCACCUUGGAUGUAAUACGUUUCAUCCUUCUGGGUGGCUGAUAACCCCACAUAUUCAUGAUCUGGCUUCAAAUCAGGUAGGGCUACCCGCUGAACUUAAGCAUAUCAAUAAGCGGAGGAAAAGAAACUAACAAGGAUUCCCCUAGUAACGGCGAGUGAAGCGGGAAGAGCUCAAAUUUGAAAUCUGGCAGUCUUCGAUUGUCCGAGUUGUAAUCUAUAGAGGCGUUUUCCGUGCUGGACCGUGUACAAGUCUCCUG